Non-coding RNA from Pelobates cultripes (western spadefoot toad), 795 nucleotides. NCBI's taxonomy places the organism in Eukaryota, Metazoa, Chordata, Amphibia, Anura, Pelobatidae. The record is from the annotation of a GenBank genome assembly.
GUUUACUGUGGCUACCUGCUUUUAUGCAGGUCUCCCACCUGGUGGACACUCCCAUAGGGGACCAGAUGGGAAACUGGGAAACAUAUUGGACAUUGACCAAUCCCAAGUUUACAAUCCCACAAUGCAUCACAAUCCCUCCUCUCUGUCCUGGAGAUAAUUGGGAAGUAAUCCAAUUAUCUCCAAGGACAGAGGCAAAACUCCAUUAACCACAUGGCCGACAAAGGAUAAUAAAAGACAUAAAAAUACAUACUGUUACAUUUAUCACAUAGAACAUACACAUUCUACCUAUCCCCAGAUAGCUUAGAUCGGAGCGCCCAUUACUACCGGAUGGCGCUCAGAUAACAUACAUACUGUUCAAUCGCCAUGGAGCCAAAGUCUUUCAUACAGUCUUUCAGUAUACGGCUGGGCUCCAUGGCAUAGCUAUCUGGGGGCUUUAACAGUCCGCAGAAAGGCAUGAACCAGCCUUUCUGCAGGGAAAAAGAACAGUGUUAAACAUGGGUCCAUAGUCCAGUGGCAGGAGGCAGGCGACCAGGCUCCUCCAGUGGCCAGUGGCGAGGUUGGUUCCGCCACACACCUCCAUCUUAGCUCUCUGUCAAUCAUUGUUAUAAGCUCCGCCCUUUACACCUGGCAGUCAGUAUAGAGAGAGCCACCUCCAUCUUAGCUCCCUGUCAGUCAUUGUUAUAAGCUCCGCCCUUUACACCUGGCAAUCGGUACAGAGAGAGCCCCCUCCAUCUUAGCUCCCUGUUAGUCAUUGUUAUAAGCUUCGCCCUUUACACCUGGCAGUCAGUAUAGAGA